CUCUCUCUGGAGAUUGCUCUUCAUGGAGUUUUUGUGAGCCUCCAACAUUGCUAUGGGUUCUGAUCUGAAGAGUAUGGCCCCAGCAGCAGGAAUUUGCAAGACCAGGCAGCAUUAAAAUUCUGUGAAUCUGCUGAGAUCUGAGGUGGACUACGUGCUCCUAAGACUCACAGUCCAUGACAGGCUUCAUCUCAUCAAAAUGAAUGGUGUCUCUUUAUGGCCUGGCACGUACCGGCAGAAGGUUCUAAGUUACACCAAUGGGACAUUUAAACCUGCCCUAAAAUGCGUUUCAGGUAGGAACAGAAUGACUGUGGAGCAGCCUGCAAUGCCCAUUUGUCGAUUUCCUUGCACUGCACAUGAUCAAUCUGCAUUGCCAUGGGUAAUUUUUGCUGCAAAAGGUGCCUUGUACCAGCUUGUUGAAGCACCAUGGGAAGACACACAGACCACUUGUUUACUCUCUCCAUUUCUAGGAGGUUGGAAGAACCAAACCAUGCUAGAAACAGAACCGCUGCAAGCCAGGCAGCUGAACAGUCAGAGCUUAUGGGGGAAUCCUAGGAGGACUAUUGGAUUGAGAUUUGAGGGCUCAUCAGAGCAGAACGUUGGAUGCAGAGUUCAAAGUGCCCUUGUGUGGGUCCAUUCAGAAGCCACUCAGCAGACCACAGGCGCAUACCUUACAGAUGCAAAACCAGGACUGCUCCUACUUUGGCUCUGACUCCUGGUCGUCUCAUGUGUGACCUCAAAGCUACUGCACACCAUUGUGUACCUGCAGACUUACUGGAGCAAAGCCUCCAAAUGGCAAAUGGAAAAGCCAUCUGGACUUGUCCGUGGCCCUGCUAACUCUCAUGGUGCUGCCUUGGCUGUAGUCAACCACCUCUAGCAGGAGGAAAUGUCAUCCUUAACAAAACCAGAGAAGCUUAUCAAGUCACUGAGCAAACCUACAGUGUCCCUUGUACAGGCAGAGAUUCUUCUGAAGCCCCAUCAGAAUUUCUGGUCCAGUCAUCUGCCUCAUUCUCUCUGUUCAACAUCUGUGGUGCUUUUGUUCAGCAGGAAAAAGCAAAGAUGUUUAAAAGAAAACAAAAAACAGAGCACAAUGCAAACAAACCAAAUUAAAGAAAACGUUUUAAAGCAUUUCCUUGCUCACAAGAUGUGAGAUGGUCAUGUGUUUAAAACUGCAAUAUUAUUUCUGGCGACCGGUCUUGUGAUAUCCUUUUGUUGAUUUUUUCCAACCUCUCAAGAAACUGGAAUGAAAAUAUUUUACUGAUGUUACCAUCCCUGGGAACGGUUUGUCAACGCUGACCCAGGUUAAUGCUGCAAACUCAAAAUAUUUGGCAUGUGCUUUUGUAUUUUUCCUUCAUCAAAGAGAUUAUAUGGGGUGAAGGUCUGUUCACAUGAAAGCAGUGAGAGAUACUGGCAGUGUACUUAGCAAAACAAGAGGGGCCCUUUUAUAAAUGUGUGUGCAUAUAUGCAAAUAUGC
This 1471-nucleotide long non-coding RNA is filed under the name Gallus gallus (chicken). RNAcentral describes it as "lncRNA (ENSGALG00010002778.1)". The record is from RNAcentral. Lineage: Eukaryota; Metazoa; Chordata; Aves; Galliformes; Phasianidae.